GGAAUGUGUAUACAGUCCAUGGUCAAUUGGUGGACGAUACUAUAGGUUUUGCGGUUACUUCCCAGCUUCGUUGGUCGUUCCUCUUCAAUGUUAGUAAUUCUUUAACUCUCUUUUGUUGUUCAAAUAAUUCUUCAUUUAUCAUCUAAUUAUUCAAUUCUAAG
Erythranthe guttata (spotted monkey flower) is the source of this 161-nucleotide non-coding RNA. The record is from RefSeq and is a predicted model, not a curated record. Lineage: Eukaryota; Viridiplantae; Streptophyta; Magnoliopsida; Lamiales; Phrymaceae.